CCUACGGGGGGCAGCAGUGGGGAAUAUUGGACAAUGGGGGCAACCCUGAUCCAGCCAUGCCGCGUGUGUGAAGAAGGCCCUCGGGUUGUAAAGCACUUUCAGUGAGGAAGAACGCCUGGUGGUUAAUACCCAUCAGGAAAGACAUCACUCACAGAAGAGGCACCGGCUAACGCCGUGCCCGCAGCCGCGGUAAUACGGAGGGUGCGAGCGUUAAUCGGAAUUACUGGGCGUAAAGCGCGCGUAGGUGGCUUGAUAAGCCGGUUGUGAAAGCCCCGGGCUCAACCUGGGAACGGCAUCCGGAACUGUCAAGCUAGAGUGCAGGAGAGGAAGGUAGAAUUGCCGGUGUAGCGGUGAAAUGCGUAGAGAUCGGGAGGAAUACCAGUGGCGAAGGCGGCCUUCUGGACUGACACUGACACUGAGGUGCGAAAGCGUGGGUAGCAAACAGGAUUAGAUACCCCAGUAGUC
Molecule: ribosomal RNA, 465 nt
Filed under: Vreelandella stevensii
Lineage: Bacteria; Pseudomonadati; Pseudomonadota; Gammaproteobacteria; Oceanospirillales; Halomonadaceae
Description: partial 16S ribosomal RNA
Rfam family: Bacterial small subunit ribosomal RNA
Source: RNAcentral